AUUGAACGCUGCGGCAGGCUUAACACAUGCAAGUCGAGCGAGCGGAGGACGGGUGAGUAAUGCUUAGGAAUCUGACUAUUAGUGGGGGACAACAUCUUGAAAGGGAUGCUAAUACCUACUACUAAUAGAUGAGCCUACGGCGGAUUGGGUAGUUGGUGGGGUAAAGGCCUACCAAGGCGACGAUCUGUAGCGGGUCUGGGUGGGUGAUCCGCCAAAAUGGGAAGGAAGCACGGCCCAGGCUCCUACGGGAGGCAGCAGGGGGGAAUAUUGGAAAAAGGGGGGAACGCCGGACGCGGCAUGCCGGGUGUUUGAAGAAGGCCUUACGGGUGGAAAGCACUUUAAGGGAGGGAGCGUUACUCGCAGAAUAAGCACCGGCUAACUCUGUGCCAGCAGCCGCGGUAAUAC
RNAcentral lists this ribosomal RNA (405 nucleotides) under uncultured bacterium. RNAcentral's name for it is "partial 16S ribosomal RNA". It matches the Rfam family "Bacterial small subunit ribosomal RNA", at positions 29 to 526 of the family's 1533-position model. The record is from RNAcentral.